Molecule: ribosomal RNA, 466 nt
Filed under: Cernosvitoviella cf. atrata PDW-2010
Lineage: Eukaryota; Metazoa; Annelida; Clitellata; Enchytraeida; Enchytraeidae
Description: partial 16S ribosomal RNA
Rfam family: Bacterial large subunit ribosomal RNA
Source: RNAcentral
UUCUUUUUGAUAAUAAAAAGUAGUCUCCUGCCCAGUGAUUUAAACGGCCGCGGUACCCUAACCGUGCAAAGGUAGCAUAAUAAAUUGUCCAUUAAUUGUGGACUAGAAUGAACGGAGGAACGAAAUAAGAACUGUUUCAGUGAGAACCACAUAAACUAAUAUUUGAGUGAAGAAGCUCAAAUAAAAUUAAAGGACAAGAAGACCCUAUAGAGCUUCAUCUCUAACCCAAAAAUGGGAGAAAGAUUGGGUUGGGGCGACCCAGGAUAAUUCAUCCUUACAACUAUAGAUAAACAAAUCACUUAAAAGAUCCUACUUAAGAUCAUUGAAUCAAGCUACCUUAGGGAUAACAGGCUAAUCCUACUAGAGAGUUCAUAUCGACAGUAGGGAUUGGCACCUCGAUGUUGGCUUAGAAUAUCUGUGCGGUGCAGACGCCGCCAUAAGAAGGUUUGUUCAACCUAUAAUAUUC